RNAcentral lists this ribosomal RNA (472 nucleotides) under uncultured bacterium. Its description in RNAcentral is "partial 16S ribosomal RNA". It matches the Rfam family "Bacterial small subunit ribosomal RNA", at positions 30 to 507 of the family's 1533-position model. The record is from RNAcentral.
AGUGAACGCUGGCGGUAGGCCUAACACAUGCAAGUCGAACGGCAGCACAGUAAGAGCUUGCUCUUACGGGUGGCGAGUGGCGGACGGGUGAGGAAUACAUCGGAAUCUACUUUUUCGUGGGGGAUAACGUAGGGAAACUUACGCUAAUACCGCAUACGACCUACGGGUGAAAGCAGGGGAUCUUCGGGCCUGGCGGGGGGGAAUGGGCCGGUGUCGGAUUAGCUAGUUGGCGGGGUAGAGGCCCACCCAGGCGUUGAUGGGUAGCCGGUCUGAGAGGGUGACCGGCAACAUUGGGACUGAGAGACGGCCCAGACUCCUACGGGAGGCAGCAGUGGGGAAUAUUGCACAAUGGGCGGAAGCCUGAUGCAGCAACGCCGCGUGCGGGAUGACGGCCUUCGGGUUGUAAACCGCUUUCGCCUGUGACGAAGCGUGAGUGACGGUAAUGGGUAAAGAAGCACCGGCUAACUACGUG